Molecule: ribosomal RNA, 119 nt
Organism: Petromyzon marinus (sea lamprey)
Lineage: Eukaryota; Metazoa; Chordata; Hyperoartia; Petromyzontiformes; Petromyzontidae
Source: Ensembl
GCCUACGACCAUAUCACCCUGAAUGCGCCCGAUCUCGUCUGAUCUCGGAAGCUAAGCAUGGUCGAGCCUGAUUAGUACUUGGAUGGGAGACUACCUGGGAAUACCAGGUGUUGUAGGCU